GCUUUUGUCCCCAGCACAUUGCACGCCGGUGUUAUUUUGGCAAGCUCAAGUGUAAGUUUUUGCUAAAAAAGUUCAACCAACUAACCAACUUCUGGAUACAGUUAGUUACACUACAUACCGCUACUACUGAAUAGCACUGCCAAAUCAGUAUUCCCUAGAAUUGAGCAAGAGGAUUUCUUCAAGAAAUAAAAGCCUUAAUUGACAGUAACAAAACGAUCAUCGCAUUUACAUAUGAUAAGCUUUUGUUGAGGGAUUUUCGUUGCGAGGAUUGUUUCUCAUAUCUCAGCCAGCAAUCGUCCACUUUUUACGCCAAUGUGGAAAAGCCUGCCGAAGCUUUUAAAAAAUUAUCUACGGUACUUGAACUUUACGUUCAAGAGGAUGGAAGAAUGGAAUCUCCAUUACAGUGUCAACCGGAUAAGCUAUAUAUGAUAUCCUUAGAUGAACUCAAAAGUCACAUUAAUCCAAUGAAGAGUUGUGAUGAAGCAUUCAAAAAUGUGGUCACCACUUCUGUAAAUUGUGAAGAUGCUGUCUACGUUUUCCUAGGAACUCAUGAAGUUUCAACUGAGCGCAGCGGUCGGCUCUAUUAAAACGGAAGAAUUUCAUUUUAUUUAACUCAACUGGAAGUAGAGGACUCAACUGGCUUCAUACAAGAAAUCGAAUUUUAUGAUAUGAACAUAACCGGAGGAGAUCCUAAGCUAACAGUUGAGCUUAUAGCCGAAAAUUCGACUGCAUCGUUACGAUUCAAUGUAGUUAUUAGUAAAGGAUAUUUUCAGAUUUACUCGUUUACAUUUAACGAUACCACUUAUUACGUUUCUGACCUCUAUGCACCAAUAAGUCAUUCGUUUUCUUGUGGAAAAAUACUACUUAAAAAGGACAAGAAGAAGCUCGUAAUUAAAAGAAUGCAAAUUCAAUACGAUGUCAUACCACAUCCCAGUGAUUUUAAGUUCAAAGAUGCUUGGACAUGUGAGGGAUUCACCUCCCCUGGCAUAAUAUCUGGACUUUUUGUAACAGCUAUUUUUGUUGGCGUUUUGUCAAUUGGUAUUAGUAUGUUGAUGAAUGUUCAAUCACCAACGAAAUUUUAAACUCCAGGAGGACCUAUAUUACACAUAAACGUAGUUGAGUAAUAUAUAGUAGAAAUCAUGAUACAAAAAUAGAAGGUAGUUUCAAUAAACAA
Molecule: long non-coding RNA, 1174 nt
Organism: Rhagoletis pomonella (apple maggot)
Lineage: Eukaryota; Metazoa; Arthropoda; Insecta; Diptera; Tephritidae
Exons: 3
Source: RefSeq, a predicted model, not a curated record